Molecule: ribosomal RNA, 245 nt
Filed under: uncultured bacterium
Lineage: Bacteria
Description: partial 16S ribosomal RNA
Rfam family: Bacterial small subunit ribosomal RNA
Source: RNAcentral
UACGAAGGGAGCUAGCGUUGUUCGGAAUUACUGGGCGUAAAGGGCGCGUAGGCGGCUUGGCAAGUUGGAUGUGAAAGCCCAGGGCUCAACCCUGGAAUUGCAUUCAAGACUGCCUUGCUUGAAUUCGGUAGAGGUUGGUGGAAUUCCCAGUGUAGAGGUGAAAUUCGUAGAGAUUGGGAAGAACACCCGUGGCGAAGGCGGCCAACUGGACCGACAUUGACGCUGAGGCGCGAAAGCGUGGGGAU